This 424-nucleotide ribosomal RNA is filed under the name Fusobacteriota bacterium. Its description in RNAcentral is "Fusobacteria bacterium partial 16S ribosomal RNA". It matches the Rfam family "Bacterial small subunit ribosomal RNA", at positions 355 to 776 of the family's 1533-position model. The record is from RNAcentral. Lineage: Bacteria; Fusobacteriati; Fusobacteriota.
UGAGGAAUAUUGGUCAAUGGGCGCUAGCCUGAACCAGCCAAGUAGCGUGAAGGAUGAAGGCUCUAUGGGUCGUAAACUUCUUUUAUAUAAGAAUAAAGUGCAGUAUGUAUACUGUUUUGUAUGUAUUAUAUGAAUAAGGAUCGGCUAACUCCGUGCCAGCAGCCGCGGUAAUACGGAGGAUCCGAGCGUUAUCCGGAUUUAUUGGGUUUAAAGGGAGCGUAGGUGGACUGGUAAGUCAGUUGUGAAAGUUUGCGGCUCAACCGUAAAAUUGCAGUUGACACUGUCAGUCUUGAGUACAGUAGAGGUGGGCGGAAUUCGUGGUGUAGCGGUGAAAUGCUUAGAUAUCACGAAGAACUCCGAUUGCGAAGGCAGCUCACUGGACUGCAACUGACACUGAUGCUCGAAAGUGUGGGUAUCAAACAGG